This 429-nucleotide ribosomal RNA is filed under the name uncultured bacterium. RNAcentral's name for it is "bacterial SSU rRNA". It matches the Rfam family "Bacterial small subunit ribosomal RNA", at positions 355 to 776 of the family's 1533-position model. The record is from RNAcentral.
UGGGGAAUUUUGGACAAUGGGCGAAAGCCUGAUCCAGCCAUGCCGCGUGAGUGAAGAAGGCCUUCGGGUUGUAAAGCUCUUUCGGCCGGAACGAAAUCGCACCCGUGAAUAUCGGGUGUGGAUGACGGUACCGGAAGAAGAAGGACCGGCUAACUACGUGCCAGCAGCCGCGGUAAUACGUAGGGUCCGAGCGUUAAUCGGAAUUACUGGGCGUAAAGCGUGCGCAGGCGGUUUUGUAAGCCAGUCGUGAAAUCCCCGGGCUUAACCUGGGAAUGGCGAUUGGGACUGCAAGGCUCGAGUGCGGCAGAGGGGGGUGGAAUUCCACGUGUAGCAGUGAAAUGCGUAGAUAUGUGGAGGAACAUCAAUGGCGAAGGCAGCCCCCUGGGUCGACACUGACGCUCAUGCACGAAAGCGUGGGGAGCAAACAGG